RNAcentral lists this non-coding RNA (30 nucleotides) under Cricetulus griseus (Chinese hamster). The record is from RNAcentral. Lineage: Eukaryota; Metazoa; Chordata; Mammalia; Rodentia; Cricetidae.
GGGGAGGGCCUAAAACACACUCUGGAGCCC